AGUUAUUAAUGCCCUCCUCUAUUAAAAAGCUACACAGAUGUACUGCCCAUUUGACACUGUCAUGCAACAGUUGCCUUAAAAAAACCUGAGGAGAUAUACUUUUUUUAAAAUUCUUAAUUUUUCUCUUGUUAAUUGAUGUUUAUAUCGUUAUGAUGACAGGUCUGAAAACCCUGAACACCCCUGCCGUCACCUAUACAGUUACUUGGGGUGGCUGUGGCUCCGAGGCAGAGCGGGUCGUUCCUUAAUCGGAAGGUUGUGGGUUCGAUCCCCGGCUCCUGGUGCCACAUGUCGAAGUAUCCUUGAGCAAGAUACUGAACCCCAAAUUGCUCCCGAUGCCGUGCAUUGGUGUGUGAAUGUGUAUGAAUGAGUUAGUUUCUGUUCGAUGGACUUUGCCGUGAAUGUGUGUGAAAGGGUGAAUGUGGCAAGUAGUGUAAAAGCGCUUUGAGUGGUCGGAAGACUAGAAAGGCGCUAUACAAGUACAGGUCCAUUUACCAUUUACCAUCCAUUGUCAGUUUCAGAUCUUUUCCCCAUGUCUUCUUAAGAGCUGAUAAGGCCCCAUUACCCAGAUUCUGUAUCAUUAUGGAAUGAUACACUGAAGCCUCAUGACUUUUCCCAUAGCUCAUUAGUACUUUAUCUUAUUACUCUGCAGUACUGGGAGCUGGUGCACUAUAUCCAAAGGGUUCUCUGGUAGCAUAUGGCAGGGUUGCAGAUAUUGCAUAGGAAUUGAGAGAGAAUUCCACAUUGUUGUACACAGUACUCAAAAGAAUUAAAUAUACCAUGCAGAGGUGUAAAUGGGGCAAGUGCAGAUUGUGCAAUACAAUACCAGACAGGCUCUUUCAGGAGGAAGUGACCAGUUGUCUUAAAACCAUAGUAGUAAAACAACAUCUUGGGUUAAAAAAGGUGCCUCUUUCAACAUCACGAGAUUUUAUGUAACAAUGGAUCAGAAUGAAGUUAAACCAGGUCUUUCAUCUGAGGGGGGAAUAGGACUUUACUUGGGCCACUAAAAUGCACCUGGUUAAAGGACUGUAAAAGCACAAUAAGCUGUUAAAGGGAGUGCUUCUGACUUGAACCCGUUUACCCUAUAACCUAAGAAUUUUGAAAAAGAAUUAAUUAUGUGCCCUGGUAGAACAGGUGCCCCGCGUACAAAGCUGAGUCUUUGCUGCAGCAGCAGUGAGUGACCUGUGGCGCUUAGCUGCAUGUCAUCCCCUUUUUUUCGCUCUCCCCCUUUCCUGUUUACUUUAGUCAUCGCUUUCCAUUUAAAAAGAGGCAAUAAAAGUCCUAAAAAUAUCCCACAUGCAAUGAAAAGUCAGUCUCGCCUUAUGGCAGCUGCCAGAGCACUGGUUCUCAAACUGGUGGGACAUAGAACCACAGCAGGUGAAGCGUGGAUGACGAGGUGACAGGUCUGCUGUAAUGUAAAACAUUCUAAAAUUAGUCUAAAUUUUGUAGUAUGAAAUAUAAAUGAUCCUGGCCAUUUAAAUUUAUGCAAAAACCAUGAGAACCAUGCAGCAUUUAGUGCCAUUAUAUAUAAUGACUCUAUAAUUAUUAAUAUAAUUAUAAUUAUAUGGAAGUUUUAUAUACAAUUCUGAGCAUUUUUUUUAAUGGUUUCAAAAUUUUUCGAAGUGAAUGAUGGAUAUUAUAUUGAUUAGUUCAAGUUGUCUUGCCUUGUAGUACCUAAUAAUGUUGAUAUAGAAGUAGAAGUACAAAUAUAUCAUGAUGCAUACACAGAACCCAAUAAUAAUAAUAAUAACACUAAUAUCAGUGAUAUUAGCAAUGGCAGUCAAGCAGGACCAUGGCAGGAGGCUCCACCAGGAUCCAUGAGAACCUGCAAGACGAGAAAGCACAAGAACUCCGGGGAGAAAGUGAAGUUAGUAACAUGCAUUAAUGGGACAUGAAUGAGUGCAGAAAGAGAGAAAGAGGAAGAGAGGAGCUCAGUGCAUCCUGGGAAAUCCCCCGUGUUAAUUCUGUUAUGAAUUGGCGCUAUACAAAUAAAAUUGAAUUGAGUCAAGCAGGACCAUGGCAGGAGGCUCCUGAGUUUAACAUCAGAAAAUUGCAGCUCAUCCAGGUUUUUAUGUCCUUAAGACAUGUUUAUAAUUUAGAUAACUGGUUAAUAUCGUUGGGCUUGAUCGAUAGAUAUAACUGUGUAUCAUCUGCAUAACAAUGAAAGUUAAUGGAGUGUUUCCUAAUAAUGUUGCCUAAGGGAAGCAUAUAUAAAGUGAAUAGACUUGGUCCAAGUACAGAACCUUGUGGAACUCCAUGACUAACUGUAGUAUUUAUGGCAGAUUCAUCGUUAACAGGUACAAACUGAGAACGAUCUGAUAAGUAUGACCUAAACCAGCUUAGUGCGGUUCCUUUAAUGCCAAUUUGAUGCUCAAGUCUCUGUAAAGGGAUAUUAUAGUCAAUGGUGUUAAAUGCAGCAGUAGGUGGUCCUUUGUAGGGUGUAGAAUGUGCAAUGUGUAGAACCUGUUUUGCCCCCUGGCAUUAUAGCUGACUGAUUUUAGUCUAAAUAGCCCCAUAGAAAAGCAGCUUGUUUUCAUCUUAGAAAUACACCCAAACUCAGGGACUUCAUGUCAAAUGCAGACCUGAGACGUGGCUCCCCAAAAAGACCAUCAAAAACUUCAGCUUAUUCAAAAGACAGUUCAUAAAGAAAACUCCAACUCCCACCUUUUAUAGCCACCAUGUAAUUAUUUAAAAUGCAUUACAUAUUGAGUUUCGAUUGUUUAUUACAAAAUCUGGCAGAUUGUUACAAAAUGCAGUUGUUAUUACACAAUGAGGUGAAAAUGUAUCACAUUUUGUUGAGUUAUUACACAAUGGGAUGUUACAGCAAGACUUUUUAAGUUUUCAGUUCAAUUUUAUUUGUAUAGCGCCAGUUCAUAACAAAAGUUAUCUCAGGACACUUUUCAAAUAGAACAGGUCUAGACUGUACUCUAAAAUGUCUACUGAAGCUCAAUAACCUUUAUGCUCGCUUUGACAGGGAGAACCAGGAGGCCGCAAUCAACACCAUCAUCAAGUUUGCAGACAACACAACAGUGCCUCAUCAGUGACAACGAUUCUGGAGAACUUCUACUGCUGCACCAUCGAGAGCAUUCUUACCAACAGCAUUAUAGUCUGGUAUGGAAACUGCUCUGCCUCAGUCCGGAAAACUCUGCACUGGUUCACCUCUCCCCACCAUUGAGGCUGUCCAGAGCAAGCAGUGUCUGCGGAGGCCGAGGGCAUGCAGCAUUGUUAGGGGCACCUCCCACACAGGACACGGACUCUUUGCCCUCUACCCCUCUGUGAAGCGGUACAGGUCUCUCCGUUCCCGAACUAGCAGGCUCAGGAACAGCUUUUUGCCAUCAGCUUUCAAACUCUGCACCGAGGAGAUCCCCCUUCCCCUGAAUGACUGAACUCCCACUCCACCCCACCCUCCACGGACUAAACUCUUUUUCUUCCCAUAUUCCUUGGCACUGACCCCCUCUCCACUAUACCACCACACUACUCCACACUACUGCACUUACCUGGACUAUUUAAGCCCAUAAUUACACAUAACGUGUGUAUAACGUAUAUAUCUAUAGUGCAUUCACUUGCAUCUGUCUAUACUGUACUCUACCUAUAGUGUAUUAAUAUCUAGCUGUCUGUAUAUAAACCAAUUUAAUUACUGGUACUGGCCUGCGCACUAUAUAUUUACUGCUAAUACUGUUCAUACUGUAAAAAUCUCAACUUAAAAAAUCCUUUUCUAUCUGACCAUUAUUUAAUAACUUUUGAAUUCCUAUUACUAGAUUACAAGCUAUUAGGCAAAACGUCCUACAGCAGAUGUCUAUCUGACAGUGCUGUAGCUAAAUUCAAGGAGGAGAUUCCAUCAGUGUUUUAUUCAAUGCCAUGUCUGAAUAUACAAUAUAUAGAGUCCUAUCAUAACUUUAGUCCUUCCCAAAUAGAUAUCUUGUUAAUAGUGCUGCAGGCUCACUGCGAACAACAUUAGAUUCUUUCACCCCUAUAAAAAGGAAAACAUUAAAACAUAGGAGGCUAGCACCGUGGUACAAUCAUGAAAAAUUCUUGUACUUGGUAAUGGUCAAUGGUAAAUGGAUCUGUACUUGUAUAGUGCCUUCCUGUGUUUGCAGCGUUUUGCUGUUUGCGAUGUGUUUGCCCUUGUCUGCCACCGUAGUAUUAUGACCCCACUUGAACACUGUGCUCUCUGAAUGCAGGGCUACUUGUGGUUCCUAUAGUCUCCAAAAGUAGAACAGAUACUAUUAUUACUAUAAUCACUGCUCAUUGUCCCCCAUCGUUGUUGUCGUCAUCAUCUUCUUCAUGUUCAUCAUCAUCAUCAGUCAUUUCUAUUAUAACACAUUCAUACACAUUCACAGCAAUUUGCCUAUUCAGUAUCUUGCCAAAGGAUACUUCGACAUUUGGCAGGAGGAGCUGGGAUCAAACCAACAACCUUCCGAUUAGGGGAUGACCCGCUCUGCCUCUGCACCACAGCCACUCUGUACUUGGCCCCAAACACCUCAGAGACUCACUGUCUAAAGAUAUAGUUACUCUAGAUGGUAUUACCUUGGCCUCUAGCACCACUGUCAGGAAUCUUGGAGUUAUCUUUGAUCAGGAUUUGUCAUUUAAUUCCCAUAUAAAGCAAACCUCUAGGACUGCCUUUUUUCAUUUACGCAAUAUUACAAAAGUUAGACACAUCCUGUCACAGACGGAUGCAGAAAAACUAAUCCAUGCAUUUGUUACUUCUAGGCUGGAUAACUGCAAUUCCUUACUAUCAGGUUGCCCCAAUAAGUCCAUUAAGACGCUUCAAUUAAUCCAGAACGCUGCAGCACGAGUACUGACAGGAACUAGGAAAAGAGAUCAUAUCUCUCCUGUACUAGCGUCUCCGCACUGGAUCCCUGUAAAAUUCAGAAUAUAAUUUAAAAUCUUCAUUCUCACCUACAAAGCUCUACAUGAUCAGGCCCCUUCAUAUCUUAAAGAGCUCAUAGUACCCCAUUGCCCCACUAGAACACUACGUUCUCUGAAUGCUGGGCUACUUGUGGUUCCUAUAGUCUCUAAGAGUAGAACAGGAGCCAGAGCCUUCAGUUACCAAGCUCCUCUCCUGUGGAACCAGCUUCCAGUUGUGGUUCGGGAGGCAGACACCCUCUCCACAUUCAAGAGUAGGCUUAAGACAUUCCUCUUUGAUAAAGCUUAUAGUUAGGGCUGGAUCAGGUAAGUCCUGAACCAUCUAUCUAUUAUUGUUAUUAUUAUUAUUACUACAGAUACUAUAAUUACUAUAAUCAAUGCUCAUUGUCCCCCAUUGUUGUUGUUGUCGUCGUCACCAUCUUCUUCAUGUUCAUCAUUAUCAUCAUCAUCAUCAUCAUCAUCAUCAGUCACUGCUAUUAGUGUAGUUGUUACUGUGCAGCUUUGUCUCUGUCUCUGUCCUUUUGUCGUUACCUCUGUUCGCUCUCUCUUUCUGUCUCUCUGUCUCUCUCUGUCUUUCUCUCUCUCUCUCUCUCUCUCUCUCUCUCUCUCUCUCUCACCCCAACUGGUCGAGGCAGACAACCACGCACCUAGAGCCUGGGUCUGUCCGAGGUUCCUGCCUCUUAAAAGAAAGUUUUUCUUUGCUGCCGUCACCAAGUGCUUGGUGGAAACUGUUGGGUCUCUGUAAAUAAUGUUAUAUAUGUUGUUGUUAUUUUAUUAUUUAGUGAUGAAUAAUAGGCUGCUGUAGCAUAAUGGAGGGCCUUUAUAUGUUUUAAGACUAUCUUACUAGAUUGGUGAUGAAGAAUGGGAUUAUUCCAGCUCGGUACAAUGCCAUUUCCUUUCAAAUUUCUGCGCUUUUUGCUUUAAUUACCACAGUGCUAGCCUCCUUUUAAACUCAAACGGGCUGGGAGCAGGACUGACUCGAUGUUGUUUAUGUUAUAAAGAGUUCAGUCUAGACCUGCUUUAUUUGAAAAGUGUCCUGAGAUAACUUGUUAUGAAUUGGUGCUAUACAAAUAAAAUUGAAUUGAAUUGAAUUGUUAA
Dicentrarchus labrax (European seabass) is the source of this 5961-nucleotide long non-coding RNA. RefSeq lists it as uncharacterized. The transcript has 2 exons. The record is from RefSeq and is a predicted model, not a curated record. NCBI's taxonomy places the organism in Eukaryota, Metazoa, Chordata, Actinopteri, Moronidae.